AUUGUGAAUCGAGGGUCAUGACAACCGCCGCAUACUUAUAGAAUACUUUUCCCAUAAGCAUGCAAGGCAUCUCAUCAUGAUAUCUUCACAAACAGUUAAAUAAUUUUUUCUUUAUUCAAUAAUCAAACCUUGGUUCAAAUAACAAAUCAAAACUAAGUGUUCAAAAGAAAGUAACUGUCUGACAAAGCCAAUACUAAAAACAAAACUAAAGGUCUUGAAUCAAUUCUGAGAAAAAUCCUAAAUCAAUGAGUUAACUCCAUCUCUAAUCGCUCUCCCAACCGAAAUCCCG
This 289-nucleotide long non-coding RNA is filed under the name Elaeis guineensis (African oil palm). Its description in RNAcentral is "long non-coding RNA (EGUI_LNC066737)". Lineage: Eukaryota; Viridiplantae; Streptophyta; Magnoliopsida; Arecales; Arecaceae. The record is from RNAcentral.